CAUAGGUACCCCAUCCCUCUCUCCAUCUCCAUCUCCAUCUCCAUCUCCAUCCACACCCCUACGCAAACCAAAAUCACUCUGCCCACAGUCGAAGUUUAUGCAUCAUCUUCUUAAGCUUGUGGUUAGUUAUCAGUCAUCUUCGCUAUGCACGAUGGCGACCACCACAAUGCCUUAGACCUGAAGAACCUCAAUGUACAUUCGUCUUGGGCCGUGGGGUAAAAGGUGUGGUUAUCUUGGAAAAAAUAGAGAAUGGGGGAUUAUUAAGAUUCAACUUUUUUUUGGUUUUGGGGAGGGGGGGGGGUUGUUUUAGAUUUUAUGUUGCAGAAUUGGUGUUGGCAUAAUGACAUUGGAAUAUCUUCAUUGAUUGGGCAUUGGUUUACAGAGAUUUGAAGCCAGAAAUGUGUCGAUUCAAGAAAACGGCUAUUUAAUGUUAGUAGAUUUUAAUUUAUCAACAUAACUUCUCCAAAAUCUGUAGAAGAUUAUUCUUCCACAAAAUCUAUGCCUAAAAUGGAGCUGUGGAAUUCCCAUUUCUCCAAGUGCUGUGACUCAGGCCGGAGGACUCAGUUAAUUCGGUCGAACUCGGUGGAGACUCAAUGAGUUACGAGUUCGACUCGGUAUAGAAAUCCAAUUCUUUGGUCGGGACGGAGGACUGUCUGAUCUGACUGAUCAUAUUAGGCAACAACCAUGUUUUUUCCUUCGACAAGUGGUGUACGAAAUGUUAUACGGCACGAAGUGCGUGGGUACAGUGAUUUUGGUUUGGGUUAGGGUGGGGUAUAUGGAUGGGGUGGGGUAGUUGUGGAAGAUGAUGGUUUUUUAUUUAAUUAUUUAAAUUGUUUUUAUAUGGAAAGAGGUAAGAUUAUCAUUUUACUCUUAUAGAAAUAAUGAGUAAUGUGGUCAAAAUCAUUUUCUUGGUUAACUAACGAAAAAAGUGGACGGAUUCCAUCUAUUGGACUUCAAAUGCAUAUUUCUGAAAGGUUAGGGACCUUUGUUGGCACAAAAUGAAGAUUCAAAUAAAGUUUAUAAAAAUUGAAAAGAUUAGGGACCGGUGUUGUAAUUUUUCCAAUAUUUUAUUUUAUAGAUGUGUGAUUAAAUCUAAAUUUAUAAUGAGCAUUGUAAGACGUUUUUAAAAGUUUGGUGGCCAAAGUUGGACUUUUUUCGAAUUUCAAAGGAAAAAUUUGACUAUUUGAUGAAUGUUCUGCACUCUGAUUUUGUGGAUCACUUAACCCAUUAUUAUGCCAUUCUUGAGAGUGUUUUAGAUGUGUAAACAUGUGAUCUUCAUGUUGUUUUACAGGUUGGAUAAAGGGUUGAAAAGAGGGAAUAAAUGAGGCUAAGCGAAAGAAAUGAAGAAGGAAGACGAAAUACAAGAACUGAAGGCGGUAGAAGAGAUGGCGCCGCAGCGCCCUGUAACAGGCGCCAUAGUGCCAGAUUAAAGUAGAAGAAACAGAAGUAGUGGCACUAUAGUGCCCAGUUUGGGCGCCACUUUGCGGGGAAGUAACUUCACCAAUUUCUGGAUUCUUUCACAGCCCAGCCCACUUCCAAAUUGUAGUGCAACUCCAAGGAAUUAUAAAUACCACUUACAAGACCUAAUGAAGAGGGGUUGGAGUGGGCAAAAUUUGCGAACAAUCGAUAGACAAAUUGGAGAGAGAAGGCAGCCGCCCAAAUUCAAGAAUUGGGGAGAAUCUAGAGAGAAUUACAUAGAUUUCAGCCGCCUAACACAAGACCCCAAAUACAGAGCUUAACUGGAAAAGCUUCAGCCAACCGAAAAUUGUAGAAGGAACGAACCAGAGGGAACUUCAAGCAGACAACCAACUUACAAUCUGGAAGAAGAGAAAAAAGUGGACGGCUGGAUAAAUUUGAAAGAGUCAAAGGGCAGAAUUUAAUUGGAAGGCGUGGAACAAGGGAAGAAUCGAUUACACUCCAAAAGAGUUUAAUUUCUUUUCUUUCUCCUUUACGUUUUUCAUUAUAAUUUGUAUGAAUUUUAUAGAUUUUAUCAUGAGCUAAACAACUUACCUAGGGUUUGAUGUAGCCAAAUCAAAAUUAUGGUUUGAUGAACUUAUUAAUUAUUUCGUUUGAUUUCCCACAUAUAUUUAAUCG
This 2094-nucleotide long non-coding RNA is filed under the name Olea europaea subsp. europaea. Lineage: Eukaryota; Viridiplantae; Streptophyta; Magnoliopsida; Lamiales; Oleaceae. The record is from RNAcentral.